RNAcentral lists this ribosomal RNA (503 nucleotides) under uncultured bacterium. RNAcentral describes it as "bacterial SSU rRNA". It matches the Rfam family "Bacterial small subunit ribosomal RNA", at positions 29 to 507 of the family's 1533-position model. The record is from RNAcentral.
AACGAACGCUGGCGGCGUGCCUAACACAUGCAAGUCGUGCGAGAAAGUUCCUUCGGGAGCGAGUAAAGCGGCGCACGGGUGAGUAACACGUAGGUAACCUGCCCCCCAGUCUGGAACAACUAGAGGAAACUCUAGCUAAUGCCGGAUGAGACCACGAUCCCUUCGGGGGUUGCGGCCAAAGAUGGCCUCUACUUGUAAGCUAUCGCUGAGGGAUGGGCCUGCGGGCCAUUAGCUUGUUGGUGAGGUAACGGCUCACCAAGGCUGUGAUGGCUAGCUGGUCUGAGAGGAUGACCAGCCACACUGGGACUGAGACACGGCCCAGACUCCUACGGGAGGCAGCAGUGGGGAAUAUUGCGCAAUGGGCGAAAGCCUGACGCAGCGACGCCGCGUGGGUGAUGAAGGCCUUCGGGUCGUAAAGCCCUGUCGCAGGGGAAGAAUAAGCAUCGGUAUAAUACGCCGGUGCCCUGACGGUACCCUGCAAGGAAGCACCGGCUAACUCCGUG